Molecule: ribosomal RNA, 253 nt
Filed under: uncultured bacterium
Lineage: Bacteria
Description: partial 16S ribosomal RNA
Rfam family: Bacterial small subunit ribosomal RNA
Source: RNAcentral
UACGAAGGGGGCUAGCGUUGUUCGGAAUUACUGGGCGUAAAGGGCGCGCAGGCGGUCCCUCAAGUCAGGCGUGAAAGCCCCGGGCUCAACCUGGGAACUGCGCUUGAGACUGCGGGACUGGAGUUCGGGAGAGGUGAGUGGAAUUCCGAGUGUAGAGGUGAAAUUCGUAGAUAUUCGGAAGAACACCAGUGGCGAAGGCGGCUCACUGGACCGGCAUUGACGCUGAGGUGCGAAAGCGUGGGGAGCAAACAGG